RNAcentral lists this ribosomal RNA (861 nucleotides) under uncultured bacterium. RNAcentral's name for it is "bacterial SSU rRNA". It matches the Rfam family "Bacterial small subunit ribosomal RNA", at positions 8 to 916 of the family's 1533-position model. The record is from RNAcentral.
AGGGUUUGAUUAUGGCUCAGAACGAACGCUGGCGGCAGGCCUAAUACAUGCAAGUCGAGCGCAUCCUUCGGGAUGAGCGGCGGACGGGUUAGUAACGCGUGGGAACGUGCCCUUCUCUAAGGAAUAGCCUCUGGAAACGGAGAGUAAUACCUUAUACGCCCUUUGGGGGAAAGAUUUAUCGGAGAAGGAUCGGCCCGCGUUAGAUUAGAUAGUUGGUGGGGUAACGGCCUACCAAGUCUACGAUCUAUAGCUGGUUUUAGAGGAUGAUCAGCAACACUGGGACUGAGACACGGCCCAGACUCCUACGGGAGGCAGCAGUAGGGAAUCUUGGACAAUGGGCGAAAGCCUGAUCCAGCCAUGCCGCGUGAGUGAAGAAGGCCUUAGGGUCGUAAAGCUCUUUCGCCUGUGAUGAUAAUGACAGUAGCAGGUAAAGAAACCCCGGCUAACUCCGUGCCAGCAGCCGCGGUAAUACGGAGGGGGUUAGCGUUGUUCGGAAUUACUGGGCGUAAAGCGCGCGUAGGCGGAUUGGAAAGUUGGGGGUGAAAUCCCAGGGCUCAACCCUGGAACUGCCUCCAAAACUCCCAGUCUAGAGUUCGAGAGAGGUGAGUGGAAUUCCAAGUGUAGAGGUGAAAUUCGUAGAUAUUUGGAGGAACACCAGUGGCGAAGGCGGCUCACUGGCUCGAUACUGACGCUGAGGUGCGAAAGUGUGGGGAGCAAACAGGAUUAGAUACCCUGGUAGUCCACACCGUAAACGAUGAAUGCCAGUCGUCGGGUAGUAUACUAUUCGGUGACACACCUAACGGAUUAAGCAUUCCGCCUGGGGAGUACGGUCGCAAGAUUAAAACUCAAAUGAAUUGACGG